This 253-nucleotide ribosomal RNA is filed under the name uncultured bacterium. RNAcentral describes it as "partial 16S ribosomal RNA". It matches the Rfam family "Bacterial small subunit ribosomal RNA", at positions 524 to 776 of the family's 1533-position model. The record is from RNAcentral.
UACGGAGGGCGCGAGCGUUAAUCGGAAUUACUGGGCGUAAAGCGCGCGUAGGCUGUUGUGUAAGUUGGGGGUGAAAUCCCACGGCUCAACCGUGGAACAGCCCUUGAUACUGCGCGACUUGAAUCCGGGAGAGGGUGGCGGAGUUCCAGGUGUAGGAGUGAAAUCCGUAGAUAUCUGGAGGAACAUCAGUGGCGAAGGCGGCCACCUGGACCGGUAUUGACGCUGAGGCGCGAAAGCGUGGGGAGCAAACAGG